This 316-nucleotide RNase P RNA is filed under the name Flavobacterium sp. RNAcentral describes it as "RNase P RNA component class A". It matches the Rfam family "Bacterial RNase P class A". Rfam says of the family: Ribonuclease P (RNase P) is a ubiquitous endoribonuclease, found in archaea, bacteria and eukarya as well as chloroplasts and mitochondria. Its best characterised activity is the generation of mature 5'-ends of tRNAs by cleaving the 5'-leader elements of precursor-tRNAs. Lineage: Bacteria; Pseudomonadati; Bacteroidota; Flavobacteriia; Flavobacteriales; Flavobacteriaceae. The record is from RNAcentral.
CAAGCAGACCGCCUUAUCGCUUCUAAUUUAUUAGGAGAGGAAAGUCCGGACACCAUAGAGAAGCAUAGCGGGUAACGCCCGUCACUCCGAUGUAUCGGAGGAGGACAAGUGCAACAGAAAGUAUGUACAGGUUAAGCUGUAGUGAAACCAGGUAAACUCUAUGCGGUGAAAUUUCAAGUAUAUCAGCAUUUAAGGGUUUCUCGUCCGUUGUUGAAGGGUAGAAAGAUAGAUUCCGCGAGUAAUUUCGGAACUAGAUAAAUGAUAAGGGUUCCGAGGUUUCGGAAUACAGAAUCCGGCUUAUAGGUCUGCUUUUUUU